This 460-nucleotide ribosomal RNA is filed under the name uncultured bacterium. RNAcentral's name for it is "partial 16S ribosomal RNA". It matches the Rfam family "Bacterial small subunit ribosomal RNA", at positions 338 to 795 of the family's 1533-position model. The record is from RNAcentral.
CCUACGCGAGGCAGCAGUGAGGAAUAUUGGUCAAUGGGCGCGAGCCUGAACCAGCCAAGUAGCGUGAAGGAUGACUGCCCUACGGGUUGUAAACUUCUUUUAUAAAGGAAUAAAGUGAGGCACUUGUGCCUUUUUGUAUGUACUUUAUGAAUCAGGCUCGGCUAACUCCGUGCCAGCAGCCGCGGUAAUACGGAGGAUCCGAGCGUUGUCCGGGUUUAUUGGGUUUAAAGGGAGCGUAGAGGGGUUGUUAAGUCAGUUGUGAAAGUUUGCGGCUCAACCGUAAAAUUGCAAUUGAUACUGGCAGCCUUGAGUACAGUUGAGGUAGGCGGAAUUCGUGGUGGAGCGGUGAAAUGCUUAGAUAUCACGAAGAACUCCGAUUGCGAAGGCAGCUUACUAAACUGCCACUGACAUUGAUGCUCGAAAGUGUGGGUAUCAAACAGGAUUAGAUACCCCAGUAGUC